Molecule: ribosomal RNA, 229 nt
Filed under: uncultured bacterium
Lineage: Bacteria
Description: partial 16S ribosomal RNA
Rfam family: Bacterial small subunit ribosomal RNA
Source: RNAcentral
UGCGCAGGCGGAAUGAUAAGUCAGUGGUGAAAUCUUACGGCUCAACCGUAAAACUGCCAUUGAUACUGUUGUUCUUGAGUACAGUUGUAGUGGGCGGAAUAUGUCAUGUAGCGGUGAAAUGCAUAGAUAUGACAUAGAACACCGAUCGCGAAGGCAGCUCACUAAGCUGAAACUGACGCUCAGGCACGAAAGCGUGGGGAGCGAACAGGAUUAGAUACCCUGGUAGUCC